Molecule: ribosomal RNA, 449 nt
Filed under: uncultured bacterium
Lineage: Bacteria
Description: partial 16S ribosomal RNA
Rfam family: Bacterial small subunit ribosomal RNA
Source: RNAcentral
GUCGAGAAUCUUUCACAAUGGGGGCAACCCUGAUGGAGCGACGCCGCGUGGAGGAUAAGGUCUUCGGAUUGUAAACUCCUGUCAUGCGUGAACAAGGUUGCUUGGUUAAUACCUGGGCAAAUUGAUGGUAACGCAAGAGGAAGAGACGGCUAACUCUGUGCCAGCAGCCGCAGUAAUACAGAGGUCUCAAGCGUUGUUCGGAAUCACUGGGCGUAAAGGGUGCGUAGGUGGCGUGGCAAGUCAGAUGUGAAAGCCCGGGGCUCAACCUCGGAACUGCAUCCGAUACUGCCAUGCUAGAGUACUGGAGGGGUGACUAGAAUUCUCGGUGUAGCAGUGAAAUGCGUAGAUAUCGAGAGGAAUACCAAAGGCGUAGGCAGGUCACUGGACAGUUACUGACACUGAGGCACGAAGGCCAGGGGAGCGAACGGGAUUAGAAACCCGGGUAGUCC